RNAcentral lists this ribosomal RNA (250 nucleotides) under uncultured bacterium. Its description in RNAcentral is "partial 16S ribosomal RNA". It matches the Rfam family "Bacterial small subunit ribosomal RNA", at positions 524 to 776 of the family's 1533-position model. The record is from RNAcentral.
UACGGGGGGGCAAGCGUUGUUCGGAAUUACUGGGCGUAAAGGGCUCGUAGGUGGCCAACUAAGUCGGACGUGAAAUCCCUCGGCUUAACCGGGGAACUGCGUCCGAUACUGGAUGGCUUGAGUUUGGGAGAGGGAUGCGGAAUUCCAGGUGUAGCGGUGAAAUGCGUAGAUAUCUGGAGGAACACCGGUGGCGAAGGCGGCAUCCUGGACCAACACUGACACUGAGGAGCGAAAGCCAGGGAGCAACGGG